UCCGAGUUGACCCCGGCAGUCUCCUGCGAGUCCCCGCCAUUACGCGCUGGCAACACAGGACAAGGGUUGCGCUCGUUGCGGGACUUAACCCAACAUCUCACGACACGAGCUGACGACAGCCAUGCACCACCUGUAUACCGACCACAAGGGGGGCCGUAUCUCUACGGCUUUCCGGUAUAUGUCAAACCCAGGUAAGGUGGGGAUGACGUCUCUGUACCAUAGA
This 223-nucleotide unclassified non-coding RNA is filed under the name uncultured Nocardiaceae bacterium. RNAcentral's name for it is "contains 16S-23S intergenic spacer region". Lineage: Bacteria; Bacillati; Actinomycetota; Actinomycetes; Mycobacteriales; Nocardiaceae. The record is from RNAcentral.